AUAUUGAAUUACAAGGACUCCCUUACAAUUUUUUUUCAAAAUCAUGUUUUCUCCAUUUAAACGGUUUGAGGUUUGGUUAAAGAUUGAUGUAUCAAAUAAUGUAUUAGUGUAUACAAAACAUAGCAAAACCCCAAAACGAAACCCUAAAACACUUUAAUUAUUAAUUUGCAAGAAAAUUGUAAUGGCUUCCUUACAAUUCUCUUGCAAUUUGCGAGGGGAUUGCGAGACAUUUAGGCAUCUGUUGCAAUUCCCUUGCAAAACCAUUUUUCCCAACAUAAAAAGAGAGAAAAAUAGCUUACAGAACUAGGGUUAGUAUAUAAAGACAUAAACCUAUUCCUUUUCAUUUGUUUGGCCGUAAAAGAGUUAGUAUACAAAACAUUUUAAAUCUUUGCUCUCCUCCCUCUUGGUCUCCUCUCUCUCUCUCUGUCUCCUGUGCCUCACUCUCUCACGCUUGCCUCUAUGCCUCUUCUCCGACCACACCGCCAAAUCUCUCUUCGCCGCCGGCUCUCCUCUCUUUCUCAGACCGCCGGAUCUCUUCUUACUUUCUUACGCCGCUUACCUCUCUCUCUCUCUUUCACGGCGAAUCCACAGAGCUCGUGCACGUCGUCCCACGACCAGUGACCACCACGGUGAAGCAUAGAGAACAGGCUUGAUGGUUGAGGGAAUAAGGGCAGCCGUUGUCGCAGGGGUGGUGGUUGUGCGGCGGUGGUGGUGCGGCGGAGGAGGCAAGGAGGCUAAAAGCAGAUGAGGCAAGGAGGCGGCUCAUAUUUUUAGGGUUAGAGAUUCUUUUAGAAUUAGGUUUAAUUUGUAAACCGGGUCUGUUUGUAAACCAGGUUUGUGUGUAAACCGGGUCUGACUGUAAACCAGGUCUGUGUGUUAACCAAUUCUGUGUGUAAUUAAACCAGUGAAUAAACCGAUAUCAUUUAUAUUUUUUUUA
Molecule: long non-coding RNA, 937 nt
Organism: Raphanus sativus (radish)
Lineage: Eukaryota; Viridiplantae; Streptophyta; Magnoliopsida; Brassicales; Brassicaceae
Exons: 2
Source: RefSeq, a predicted model, not a curated record